RNAcentral lists this non-coding RNA (259 nucleotides) under Clostridium sulfidigenes. RNAcentral's name for it is "T-box sequence". It matches the Rfam family "T-box leader". From Rfam's summary of the family: Uncharged tRNA acts as the effector for transcription antitermination of genes in the T-box leader family. T-boxes are found upstream of many aminoacyl-tRNA synthetase genes and some amino acid biosynthetic genes usually in Gram-positive bacteria. Lineage: Bacteria; Bacillati; Bacillota; Clostridia; Eubacteriales; Clostridiaceae. The record is from RNAcentral.
GGAAAUUCUAUGAAAAGGACAGUACUUUCUUUAUUAAUUCUUAAAGCGAGUGAAGGUUGGUGUGAGCUUCACAAGAAUAAAAGAAUCUUAACAAGUAAUUGUAGGGAAAUUUAUUUAUAAUAAAUUAGGAAGAGAACCUUGGAGAAGCUGCCCCAAAGGAUUACUUAGUAGGGUUAGUCGUGAAAAGCGUUAAAAUUAUGAGUGGACUUUUUAAAAAAGUCAAUUAGAGUGGUACCACGGGUAUAUAACCGUCUCUUUC